This 485-nucleotide unclassified non-coding RNA is filed under the name Hevea brasiliensis (rubber tree). Lineage: Eukaryota; Viridiplantae; Streptophyta; Magnoliopsida; Malpighiales; Euphorbiaceae. The record is from RNAcentral.
GGCUCAACUCCAGUUUCAUCCACCUCUUCAUCAUCCUGAGCAAUGGUUGAAGUCUCAGGCUUGGAAAUCACAUGGCUAAGAUCAGGAGCCUUAAACUGCUCUGCAGCCUGAGUCUGUAGUUGUGAGCUCAAGUCUUCAAUCUUGGCCUCCCCAAAGAUAACAUACGUGUCUGAUGUUGGGCUUUUAAAAACAUCCGGUUUUGAUAUAACAAACAAAAUAUUCUUGCUCUUUUUAACAGUAACACGACUAACACCAGGGAUAGGUUUCAUUCCAAGCUUCAACAUUGCUUUUCUACUCUUCUUUUCACUUCUGCUUUGCUUUGACCUACCACUUGCAUCUCCAUCUUGUUGUCCCUCAGCCUCAUCUUCAUCCUUGUCAUCAUCAUCAUCAUCCUCAUCGUCCUCCUCAUCCUCGUCCUCAACCACAUCCUCGAUCACAGGCUUAUCAGACUCGAGGAUCUUUUGAGCUUCGAGCUGAGCAGCGAG